RNAcentral lists this ribosomal RNA (470 nucleotides) under uncultured bacterium. RNAcentral's name for it is "bacterial SSU rRNA". It matches the Rfam family "Bacterial small subunit ribosomal RNA", at positions 328 to 793 of the family's 1533-position model. The record is from RNAcentral.
CGCUAUCACUCCUACGGGAGCAGCAGUAGGGAAUAUUGGUCAAUGGGCGAAAGCCUGAACCAGCCAUGCCGCGUGUCAGAUGAAGGUCCUCUGGAUUGUAAAUGACUUUUCUACGGGAAGAAUGAGCCGUCUGCGGACGGAAGUUGACGGUACCGUAGGAAUAAGCACCGGCUAACUACGUGCCAGCAGCCGCGGUAAUACGUAGGGUGCAAGCGUUGUCCGGAUUUACUGGGUUUAAAGGGUACGUAGGCGGUUGUGCCAAGUCUGGGGUGAAAGUUUGCAGCUCAACUGUAAAAAUUGCCUUGGAUACUGGUCGGCUAGAGUAGUGGAGCGGUGGCUGGAAUUUAUAGUGUAGCGGUGAAAUGCUUAGAUACUAUGAGGAACACCAAUUGCGAAGGCAGGUCACUGGUCACUAACUGACGCUGAGGUACGAAAGUGUGGGGAUCAAACAGGAUUAGAUACCCUGGUAG